UAGGGAAUCUUCCACAAUGGACGCAAGUCUGAUGGAGCAACGCCGCGUGAGUGAAGAAGGUUUCCGGAUCGUAAAGCUCUGUUGUUGGUGAAGAAGGAUAGAGGCAGUAACUGGUCUUUAUUUGACGGUAAUCAACCAGAAAGUCACGGCUAACUACGUGCCAGCAGCCGCGGUAAUACGUAGGUGGCAAGCGUUGUCCGGAUUUAUUGGGCGUAAAGCGAGCGCAGGCGGAAUGAUAAGUCUGAUGUGAAAGCCCACGGCUCAACCGUGGAACUGCAUCGGAAACUGUCAUUCUUGAGUGCAGAAGAGGAGAGUGGAAUUCCAUGUGUAGCGGUGGAAUGCGUAGAUAUAUGGAAGAACACCAGUGGCGAAGGCGGCUCUCUGGUCUGCAACUGACGCUGAGGCUCGAAAGCAUGGGUAGCGAACAGG
This 429-nucleotide ribosomal RNA is filed under the name bacterium. Its description in RNAcentral is "partial 16S ribosomal RNA". It matches the Rfam family "Bacterial small subunit ribosomal RNA", at positions 355 to 776 of the family's 1533-position model. The record is from RNAcentral.